GGAGUUUGGUCCGUGUCUCAGUACCAAUGUGGGGGACCUUCCUCUCAGAACCCCUACUGAUCGUCGCCUUGGUGGGCCGUUACCCCGCCAACUGGCUAAUCAGACGCAUCCCCAUCCCUUACCGAUGAAUCUUUGGUAUUCGUCAGAUGUCCUCAAAAUACAACAUAGAGUAUUAAUCCGACUUUCGCCGGGCGUAUCCUCUACUAAGGGGAAGGUUGGAUACGCGUUACUCACCCGUCGCGCCGGUCGCCAUCUAGAUUAGCAAGCUAAUCUAAUGCUGCCCCUCCGACUUGCAUGUGUUAAGCCUGUAGCUAGCGUUCAUC
This 323-nucleotide ribosomal RNA is filed under the name uncultured Prevotella sp. RNAcentral's name for it is "partial 16S ribosomal RNA". The record is from RNAcentral. Lineage: Bacteria; Pseudomonadati; Bacteroidota; Bacteroidia; Bacteroidales; Prevotellaceae.